RNAcentral lists this ribosomal RNA (490 nucleotides) under uncultured bacterium. RNAcentral describes it as "partial 16S ribosomal RNA". It matches the Rfam family "Bacterial small subunit ribosomal RNA", at positions 30 to 507 of the family's 1533-position model. The record is from RNAcentral.
AUUGAACGCUGGCGGCAGGCUUAACACAUGCAAGUCGAACGGUAACAGGAAGCAGCUUGCUGCUUCGCUGACGAGUGGCGGACGGGUGAGUAAUGUCUGGGAAGCUGCCUGAUGGAGGGGGAUAACUACUGGAAACGGUAGCUAAUACCGCAUAAUGUCGCAAGACCAAAGAGGGGGACCUUCGGGCCUCUUGCCAUCGGAUGUGCCCAGAUGGGAUUAGCUUGUUGGUGGGGUAACGGCUCACCAAGGCGACGAUCCCUAGCUGGUCUGAGAGGAUGACCAGCCACACUGGAACUGAGACACGGUCCAGACUCCCACGGGAGGCAGCAGUGGGGAAUAUUGCACAAUGGGCGCAAGCCUGAUGCAGCCAUGCCGCGUGUAUGAAGAAGGCCUUCGGGUUGUAAAGUACUUUCAGCGGGGAGGAAGGGAGUAAAGUUAAUACCUUUGCUCAUUGACGUUACCCGCAGAAGAAGCACCGGCUAACUCCGUG